UUAUAAUCUGAUAAAUUUAGUUAAAAAUAAAAAAAUAAAAAACAGUUAUUAAAAAUAUCAUGUCACUUUUAAUUUAUUUAAUUUAGUUCUAAUCGAUAUUUUAACUUUAAUUUUUGUUCAACAAUUAUUAUUAUACAUCACAAAAAUAUAAUGUAUAAGAAAAUAAGAAAACCAAAAUAAAAGUAGUGGGGUAGAGUGUUGAAUUUUAUUAAACAAAAAUAUUGGAGUGAUAGAAAAUUAAGUGGAUGUUGAAUUGUGAUGUGGAAGAAAGAGAAAAUGAUGUAAAGUGUUGAAAGCUGAGGUGGAGGGUGUUGAAUAUGAUUUUACAUUGUACAUAUCAUCUUCUACACAUUAUGAUAUGGAAGAAAGAGAAAAUGAUGUGGAGUGUUAAAAGUUAAGGUCGAGGGUGUUGAAUAUGUUUUUGCAUUGUACAUAGUCAUUUAGACUACUUGCAAUGGAGGUGUUAAAUAAAUUAUUCAACUGUUUAAUGGGGGUGUUGAAAACUAAAAAAAUAAACGUGGAUUUUUGAUUGUUGAAUCUAUUCAACAUGUUGGAUAAUUUUUUUUUAGGUCCGCGCAUGCACAUGUCACCAUUUUAUUAGAAGGUGUGUAAAAACACACCCAAAAGGCAAGUAAAGCGUUUUAUAUUAUUAUUUUCUGAUAAAAACAAAGAGAAUAUUGUGAAGCUGACACUUUUUAUAUUAUUAUUAGUAAUUGAGAUUUUAGAGAUUUUUAUCUCACCCUAUCUAUUUACAAUCAAUUAUUAUGUAGCAAAUAUAUAUAUAUUUCUUAAAAACAUUUA
This 801-nucleotide small RNA is filed under the name Arabidopsis thaliana (thale cress). RNAcentral describes it as "ATSL194560". Lineage: Eukaryota; Viridiplantae; Streptophyta; Magnoliopsida; Brassicales; Brassicaceae. The record is from RNAcentral.